This 63-nucleotide microRNA precursor is filed under the name Pristionchus pacificus. RNAcentral describes it as "mir-8364 microRNA precursor family". It matches the Rfam family "mir-8364 microRNA precursor family". Lineage: Eukaryota; Metazoa; Nematoda; Chromadorea; Rhabditida; Neodiplogasteridae. The record is from Rfam by way of RNAcentral.
UCUUCAUUUUACGCACUUUCUCAUCGGGGUCAGAGAGGCUAGAGAGUGUGCGAAAUGAAGAGA